UACAGAGGGGGCAAGCGUUGUUCGGAAUUACUGGGCGUAAAGGGCGCGUAGGCGGCCCGCUAAGUCGAACGUGAAAUCCCCGGGCUCAACCCGGGAACUGCGUCCGAUACUGGCGGGCUUGAAUCCGGGAGAGGGAUGCGGAAUUCCAGGUGUAGCGGUGAAAUGCGUAGAUAUCUGGAGGAACACCGGUGGCGAAGGCGGCAUCCUGGACCGGUAUUGACGCUGAGGCGCGAAAGCCAGGGGAGCAAACAGG
Molecule: ribosomal RNA, 253 nt
Filed under: uncultured bacterium
Lineage: Bacteria
Description: partial 16S ribosomal RNA
Rfam family: Bacterial small subunit ribosomal RNA
Source: RNAcentral